Molecule: small nuclear RNA, 107 nt
Filed under: Gopherus agassizii (Agassiz's desert tortoise)
Lineage: Eukaryota; Metazoa; Chordata; Testudines; Testudinidae
Description: U2 spliceosomal RNA (ENSGAGG00000014981.1)
Rfam family: U2 spliceosomal RNA
About the family: U2 is a small nuclear RNA (snRNA) component of the spliceosome (involved in pre-mRNA splicing). Complementary binding between U2 snRNA (in an area lying towards the 5' end but 3' to hairpin I) and the branchpoint sequence (BPS) of the intron results the bulging out of an unpaired adenosine, on the BPS, which initiates a nucleophilic attack at the intronic 5' splice site, thus starting the first of two transesterification reactions that mediate splicing.
Source: RNAcentral
UAUCUGUUCUUAGCAGUUUAAUAUCUGAUAUGUCCUUUAUCUGAGGACUCUAUAUUAAAUUGAUUUUUGAAAUGGGGAUGGAAUAGGAUCUUGCUCUGUCCAACCCA